RNAcentral lists this ribosomal RNA (253 nucleotides) under uncultured bacterium. RNAcentral describes it as "partial 16S ribosomal RNA". It matches the Rfam family "Bacterial small subunit ribosomal RNA", at positions 524 to 776 of the family's 1533-position model. The record is from RNAcentral.
UACGUAGGGGGCAAGCGUUGUCCGGAUUCAUUGGGCGUAAAGAGCGUGUAGGCGGCCAGGUAGGUCGGUUGUGAAAACUGGAGGCUCAACCUUCAGAGGUCGACCGAAACCAUCUGGCUAGAGUCCGGGAGAGGAGAGUGGAAUUCCUGGUGUAGCGGUGAAAUGCGCAGAUAUCGGAAGGAACAUCAGUGGCGAAAGCGGCUUCCUGGACCAGCACCGACGUUCAGGCACGAAAGCGUGGGGAGCAAACAGG